GGAGAAUGAUGCAGGGCUUGAAAACAAGAAAGAAGCAAAGGAAGCAAAGAGAGGCCAAGUAUUCCAACAAAAGGGGAAAGGUGACACAAAGUAGGAGCAUGCGCUCUUCUGUCCAGUAGCGCGCAGCAAGGUUUUUAGUCCAAAAAAAUCCCAAUAGUACUAUUUCAUCUUGGACUUCCUCUUUUAUCAAGAUAUAAUUGCGGAAAUUAUUUUAGAUGUAAUUUAGGAGCUUUU
This 234-nucleotide unclassified non-coding RNA is filed under the name Hevea brasiliensis (rubber tree). The record is from RNAcentral. Lineage: Eukaryota; Viridiplantae; Streptophyta; Magnoliopsida; Malpighiales; Euphorbiaceae.